GAUGAACGCUGGCGGCGUGCCUAAUACAUGCAAGUCGAGCGAACGGACGAGAAGCUUGCUUCUCUGAUGUUAGCGGCGGACGGGUGAGUAACACGUGGAUAACCUACCUAUAAGACUGGGAUAACUUCGGGAAACCGGAGCUAAUACCGGAUAAUAUUUUGAACCGCAUGGUUCAAAAGUGAAAGACGGUCUUGCUGUCACUUAUAGAUGGAUCCGCGCUGCAUUAGCUAGUUGGUACGGUAACGGCUUACCAAGGCAACGAUGCAUAGCCGACCUGAGAGGGUGAUCGCCCACCCUGGAACUGAGACUCGUCCCACACUCCUACGGGGAGCAGCAGUAGGGAAUCUUCCGCGAUGGGCGAGAGCCUGACGGUGCAACGCGGCGUGAGUCAUGAAGGUCUUCUGAUCCGAAAACUCUGUUAUUAGGGAAGUUCAUAUGUGUAAGUAACUGUGCACAUCUUGACGGUACCUAAUCAGAAAGCCACGGCUAACUACGUG
Molecule: ribosomal RNA, 497 nt
Filed under: uncultured bacterium
Lineage: Bacteria
Description: partial 16S ribosomal RNA
Rfam family: Bacterial small subunit ribosomal RNA
Source: RNAcentral